AACGAACGCUGGCGGCAUGCCUAACACAUGCAAGUCGAACGAGACCUUCGGGUCUAGUGCCGCACGGGUGCGUAACGCGUGGGAACCUGCCCUUAGGUUCGGAAUAACUCCCCGAAAGGGGUGCUAAUACCGGAUAAUGUCUUCGGACCAAAGAUUUAUCGCCUUUGGAUGGGCCCGCGUUGGAUUAGCUAGUUGGUAGGGUAAAAGCCUACCAAGGCGACGAUCCAUAGCUGGUCUGAGAGGAUGAUCAGCCACACUGGGACUGAGACACGGCCCAGACUCCUACGGGAGGCAGCAGUGGGGAAUAUUGGACAAUGGGCGAAAGCCUGAUCCAGCAAUGCCGCGUGAGUGAUGAAGGCCUUAGGGUUGUAAAGCUCUUUUACCCGGGAUGAUAAUGACAGUACCGGGAGAAUAAGCUCCGGCUAACUCCGUG
This 433-nucleotide ribosomal RNA is filed under the name uncultured bacterium. Its description in RNAcentral is "partial 16S ribosomal RNA". It matches the Rfam family "Bacterial small subunit ribosomal RNA", at positions 29 to 507 of the family's 1533-position model. The record is from RNAcentral.